This 307-nucleotide ribosomal RNA is filed under the name Lepidopleurus cajetanus. RNAcentral describes it as "eukaryotic LSU rRNA". It matches the Rfam family "Eukaryotic large subunit ribosomal RNA", at positions 666 to 946 of the family's 3401-position model. Lineage: Eukaryota; Metazoa; Mollusca; Polyplacophora; Lepidopleurida; Lepidopleuridae. The record is from RNAcentral.
CCAAGGAGUCUAACAUGUGCGCAAGUCAUGGGGUUGUACGAAACCUAAAGGCGCAAUGAAAGUGAAGGCAGCCUCGGGUUUGCCUAGGUAGGAUCCCUCUCGGCACGAGGGGGCGCACUACUGGCCCGUCUCGUCUGCAUUGCAGUGAGGCGGAGCAAGAGCGUACACGUUGGGACCCGAAAGAUGGUGAACUAUGCCUGAGUAGGACGAAGCCAGAGGAAACUCUGGUGGAAGUCCGUAGCGAUUCUGACGUGCAAAUCGAUCGUCAAACUUGGGUAUAGGGGCGAAAGACUAAUCGAACCAUCUA